This 579-nucleotide long non-coding RNA is filed under the name Bos taurus (domestic cattle). RNAcentral describes it as "long non-coding RNA NONBTAT019135". The record is from RNAcentral. Lineage: Eukaryota; Metazoa; Chordata; Mammalia; Artiodactyla; Bovidae.
AGAGACUUACACAUGAAUAAAAUGAGUGGCUGGGCCACCAUAGCUUCUGCACUAGAAGUUAGAAAAUGUUAAAUGUAUAUAAAAUAUUUUCCAGUAUUCAAUCAUAGAAGAAAAUAGAAAUGAAAAUUUUUAAUGUGUUUCAGAUUAACCUUUGCUACUGCUGAUAAUUUUUAAUGGAAAUAGCUUUGGAUGGAUACAGGCUUGCAUAAGCAGUACACCCUGUUCCUUUAGAAGAAGCAAUGGGUGAGGCUGAUGAUGGGUGGAAAAUGAGUGGUGAUUUCUCUUUGAAAUUUGUUAGAUUUGUAUAGCCUUUGCCACUUAGCACCAAUCAGACUAAGAAAAAGAUAUUAAAAUAAAAUGAAUCUUUUUAGAGUAUAUUAUUCAAUCCAAAAUGUAAAGAAUUUAGAAAUAGAACUUUUCAUCCUAUGCUUAGAAUCCUUCAUCUGGGAUAAGUAAUCUGAUUCCACAAAAUGGAUUUAUGAUUUCUAGCCUGGAAUAUUCUAUGCAGGCUAAUAACUUCAGUUCCAUGAUUUGGAGUCCUCAUCAAUUAGGCUGUAAAUUGUCUGCUGAGUGGCCUCU